AUGCUUCAGCAGGAUGUUUACCCAAAUUACUACAAUAUAGAGAUUAUCAUGGCACUUACACAAGGAUGAUAUGAAAAUUUGUGAAAUAUUCCAUAUUUUU
This is a small nuclear RNA of Dipodomys ordii (Ord's kangaroo rat), 100 nucleotides long. NCBI's taxonomy places the organism in Eukaryota, Metazoa, Chordata, Mammalia, Rodentia, Heteromyidae. The record is from Ensembl.